UACGUAGGGGGCAAGCGUUGUCCGGAUUUAUUGGGCGUAAAGAGCUCGUAGGCGGUUCAGUAAGUCGGGUGUGAAAACUCUGGGCUCAACCCAGAGACGCCACCCGAUACUGCUGUGACUUGAGUACGGUAGGGGAGUGGGGAAUUCCUGGUGUAGCGGUGAAAUGCGCAGAUAUCUGGAGGAACACCGGUGGCGAAGGCGGCAUCCUGGACCGGCAUUGACGCUGAGGAGCGAAAGCCAGGGGAGCAAACGGG
RNAcentral lists this ribosomal RNA (254 nucleotides) under uncultured bacterium. Its description in RNAcentral is "partial 16S ribosomal RNA". It matches the Rfam family "Bacterial small subunit ribosomal RNA", at positions 524 to 776 of the family's 1533-position model. The record is from RNAcentral.